UGAGCCCAGCAUUGUCACGCUUU
Molecule: non-coding RNA, 23 nt
Filed under: Arabidopsis thaliana (thale cress)
Lineage: Eukaryota; Viridiplantae; Streptophyta; Magnoliopsida; Brassicales; Brassicaceae
Source: RNAcentral